GACGAACGCUGGCGGCGUGCCUAAUACAUGCGAGUUGAGCGCUGAAGGUUGGUACUUGUACCAACUGGAUGAGCAGCGAACGGGUGAGUAACGCGUGGGGAAUCUGCCUUUGAGCGGGGGACAACAUUUGGAAACGAAUGCUAAUACCGCAUAAAAACUUUAAACACAAGUUUUAAGUUUGAAAGAUGCAAUUGCAUCACUCAAAGAUGAUCCCGCGUUGUAUUAGCUAGUUGGUGAGGUAAAGGCUCACCAAGGUGAUGAUACAUAGCCGACCUGAGAGGGUGAUCGGCCACAUUGGGACUGAGACACGGCCCAAACUCCUACGGGAGGCAGCAGUAGGGAAUCUUCGGCAAUGGACGAAAGUCUGACCGAGCAACGCCGCGUGAGUGAAGAAGGUUUUCGGAUCGUAAAACUCUGUUGGUAGAGAAGAACGUUGGUGAGAGUGGAAAGCUCAUCAAGUGACGGUAACUACCCAGAAAGGGACGGCUAACUACGUG
RNAcentral lists this ribosomal RNA (497 nucleotides) under uncultured bacterium. RNAcentral's name for it is "partial 16S ribosomal RNA". It matches the Rfam family "Bacterial small subunit ribosomal RNA", at positions 28 to 507 of the family's 1533-position model. The record is from RNAcentral.